Non-coding RNA from Necator americanus (New World hookworm), 59 nucleotides. Lineage: Eukaryota; Metazoa; Nematoda; Chromadorea; Rhabditida; Ancylostomatidae. The record is from Rfam.
GCCCGGUUAGCUCAGUCGGUAGAGCACCAGACUCUUAAUCUGGCUGUCGCGGGUUCGAG